CGGGAUGUAAUUCAGUGGUCAGAAGCCUUGUUUUGGGAACAAGGAGUCGCAGGUUCGAAUCCUGCUGUCCCGA
RNAcentral lists this transfer RNA (73 nucleotides) under Alkalinema sp. RU_4_3. RNAcentral describes it as "tRNA-Pro". It matches the Rfam family "tRNA". From Rfam's summary of the family: Transfer RNA (tRNA) molecules are approximately 80 nucleotides in length. Their secondary structure includes four short double-helical elements and three loops (D, anti-codon, and T loops). The record is from RNAcentral. Lineage: Bacteria; Bacillati; Cyanobacteriota; Cyanophyceae; Leptolyngbyales; Leptolyngbyaceae.